GACCCGUCUUGAAACACGGACCAAGAAGUUUAUCAUAUAUGCAAGUCAAUGGGUAGUACACCCAAAGGCGUAAUGAAAGUAAUUUAUUACUUUUUCGUGUGAUAGUUGUUUACAACUCGCAACACGGAUAUGAAUAUAAAGUUUACUUUUAUUCAUAAUCUGAGCAUAUAUGAUAAGACCCGAAAGAUGGUGAUCUAUACACGAGCAGUAUGAAGUCAAAGGAAACUUUGAUGGAAGUACGUAACGGUUUUGACGUGCAAAUCGAUCGUUAGACUUGUGUAUAGGGGCGAAAGACUAAUCGAACCAUCUAG
Molecule: ribosomal RNA, 311 nt
Filed under: Panagrolaimus sp. JU765
Lineage: Eukaryota; Metazoa; Nematoda; Chromadorea; Rhabditida; Panagrolaimidae
Description: LSU rRNA
Rfam family: Eukaryotic large subunit ribosomal RNA
Source: RNAcentral